This 467-nucleotide ribosomal RNA is filed under the name uncultured ciliate. Its description in RNAcentral is "SSU rRNA". It matches the Rfam family "Eukaryotic small subunit ribosomal RNA". The record is from RNAcentral. Lineage: Eukaryota; Ciliophora.
AUUUGUCUGGUUAAUUCCGAUAACGAACGAGACCUUAACCUGCUAACUAGAUUCAUUAGUAUUACUAUUGCAAUCUUCUUAGAGGGACUAUGUAAAACAAAUACAUGGAAGUUUGAGGCAAUAACAGGUCAGUGAUGCCCUUAUAUGUCCUGGGCUGCACGCGUGCUACACUGAUGCAUACAACAAGUGCCUAACCAGACAUGGUAUGGCAAUCUCGAAUAUGCAUCGUGAUGGGGAUAGAUCUUUGCAAUUAUAGAUCUUGAACGAGGAAUUCCUAGUAAGUGCAAGUCAUCAUCUUGCAUUGAUUAUGUCCCUGCCCUUUGUACACACCGCCCGUCGCUCCUACCGAUACCGGGUGAUCCGGUGAACCUUUUGGACUCUUUACUGGGAAAGAUAAGUAAACCAUAUCACCUAGAGGAAGGAGAAGUCGUAACAAGGUUUCCGUAGGUGAACCUGCRGAAGGAUCA